RNAcentral lists this ribosomal RNA (272 nucleotides) under uncultured bacterium. RNAcentral's name for it is "partial 16S ribosomal RNA". It matches the Rfam family "Bacterial small subunit ribosomal RNA", at positions 524 to 796 of the family's 1533-position model. The record is from RNAcentral.
UACGGAGGGUGCAAGCGUUAUCCGGAAUCAUUGGGUUUAAAGGGUCGUAGGCGGACUAUUAAGUCAGAGGUGAAAUCCCACAGCUCAACUGUGGAACUGCCUUUGAUACUGGUAGUCUUGAGUUAUAUGGAAGUAGAUAGAAUGUGUAGUGUAGCGGUGAAAUGCAUAGAUAUUACACAGAAUACCGAUUGCGAAGGCAGUCUACUACGUAUAUACUGACGCUAAGGGACGAAAGCGUGGGGAGCGAACAGGAUUAGAAACCCUAGUAGUCC